UACGGGGGGGGCAAGCGUUGUUCGGAAUUACUGGGCGUAAAGGGCUCGUAGGCGGCCAACUAAGUCAGACGUGAAAUCCCUCGGCUUAACCGGGGAACUGCGUCUGAUACUGGUUGGCUUGAAUCCGGGAGAGGGAUGUGGAAUUCCAGGUGUAGCGGUGAAAUGCGUAGAUAUCUGGAGGAACACCGGUGGCGAAGGCGGCAUCCUGGACCGGUACUGACGCUGAUGAGCGAAAGCUAGGGGAGCAAACGGG
This 253-nucleotide ribosomal RNA is filed under the name uncultured bacterium. RNAcentral's name for it is "partial 16S ribosomal RNA". It matches the Rfam family "Bacterial small subunit ribosomal RNA", at positions 524 to 776 of the family's 1533-position model. The record is from RNAcentral.